ACAUGCAAGUCGAGCGGUAAGGCCCUUUCGGGGGUACACGAGCGGCGAACGGGUGAGUAACACGUGAGUAAUCUGCCCUUCACUUCGGGAUAAGCCUCGGAAACGGGGUCUAAUACCGGAUACGACACUUUUACGCAUGUAAUGGGUGUGGAAAGUUUUUUCGGUGGGGGAUGUGCUCGCGGCCUAUCAGCUUGUUGGUGGGGUAAUGGCCUACCAAGGCUUCGACGGGUAGCCGGCCUGAGAGGGUGACCGGCCACACUGGGACUGAGACACGGCCCAGACUCCUACGGGAGGCAGCAGUGGGGAAUAUUGGACAAUGGGCGGAAGCCUGAUCCAGCAACGCCGCGUGAGGGAUGACGGCCUUCGGGUUGUAAACCUCUUUCAGCGGGGACGAAGCGCAAGUGACGGUACCCGCAGAAGAAGCACCGGCCAACUACGUGCCAGCAGCCGCGGUAAUACGUAGGGUGCGAGCGUUGUCCGGAAUUAUUGGGCGUAAAGGGCUCGUAGGCGGUUUGUCGCGUCGGGAGUGAAAACGCCGGGCUUAACUCGGUGCUUGCUUUCGAUACGGGCAGACUAGAGGCAUGCAGGGGAGAACGGAAUUCCAGGUGUAGCGGUGAAAUGCGCAGAUAUCAGGAGGAACACCGGUGGCGAAGGCGGUUCUCUGGGCAUGUCCUGACGC
Molecule: ribosomal RNA, 679 nt
Filed under: uncultured Actinomycetes bacterium
Lineage: Bacteria; Bacillati; Actinomycetota; Actinomycetes
Description: bacterial SSU rRNA
Rfam family: Bacterial small subunit ribosomal RNA
Source: RNAcentral